Hevea brasiliensis (rubber tree) is the source of this 451-nucleotide long non-coding RNA. RefSeq lists it as uncharacterized. NCBI's taxonomy places the organism in Eukaryota, Viridiplantae, Streptophyta, Magnoliopsida, Malpighiales, Euphorbiaceae. The record is from RefSeq and is a predicted model, not a curated record. The transcript is spliced from 2 exons.
UAAUUUCUCGACACAAGGAGUGCUGUUCUUUGGAAAAAAAAAAAAAAAAAAACACUCUGUUCUUUGUGGAUGGGUCUUGCUCCGCUUGAUGAUUUACUGCUCAGAUCUCAUGAGAAGAAUAUCUCAGCUCUUUCAUAAUUUGCUGAACCUGGUAGAGUUCCAAGUACUAGCAGGAUCCAUCCAUGACUGUGUAGUGUAAGCAGCAGGUUCUUCAGUUGCUAAGUAUAUUUAGCUAUUAUAGAAUGUAGACCUAGGACUUGGAUUUGAGUAGAAGAACAACCAUUGCAGACCCAGUGGGAAUUCUUCUUAUCUUUUUCUUUGAAUUUAAUUUCUCUUUUAAUUUUUUUAAUUGCAGAUCCAUAGGAGGUGAUGAUUCAAUAUUUGUUGUAAAAUAUUUGAGAAAAAGAAGAUUGGGAGUGCCAUCUCAUAUUUUGGAUGUGAUUUUUUUUUU